UGGAGAUUAGUGCCUGUAUAUCAAAAAACUCCAGAGAGCUCCUGUGCCCCUUCUGUCACAUGAGAAGGACUCAGCAAGAAGGCACCGUCUGUGAGGAGUGGACCCUCCUCAGUACAGUGAAUCUGUCAAUACCCUGAUUUUGGACUUUCCAUCCUCCAGAACUCCUGAAUGUGGCUCUGCAUCUCGUAAGCAAAGCCGCCGACUCACCCAGCAUAGGAAGUGGCCCGAGCUCACCCAGGAAUGGGUGCUCAGUAAUGACGGCUCUCUGUCAUCCACGCUGCGUCUAAUACGCGUGCCAGGGCCUGCGUGUUGCAGGCUGCACACGCCAACUCUUCAGCGCCUCCCUGCCCAUUUCAGGAUGCUUACGAGGACUAGACAACAAUGAUGUAAAAUGCUGUCGAGGAAACAUUUCUGACUAUUUCCCUCAAACCAGCCUGCGUGCUGACUCACUCGGCAGCACAUUCAAGAUUGAAGGAUGCUUCCUUUCCCCAUGUGUGUUACCUAUCCUGGAUUUUAAUUUCAGAGGAAGAGCCAUAAAUAUGUGUCCUUCAAUUUGAAAGGACACACUGAGAAUUCAGCAGCUGGGCAAGGGAGGCUAAAGAUAAGGUUUCUUAAGGCAGGAAGAAGGAGGUGCACAGCUAUAAAAGCAAGAAGGAAUCCAUGGUGUUGAUGUUUGCAUGCUGAAUUCUGGCUGUGCUUACAGACCCAGUGGUUCUAUUUAGGAGGCGGGAGGGAGAAGAGUCCUCCACAUGUGCAGAAAUAACAAAUGGCCAUACAUCUAAGGGCAGGCAAGAUCUGCAAAUGACCAGAUUUCUGCUGGCUAAGCAAGAGGAGAGAAAGGCAACAGCAGCCUCCUCCAGCUCUGCAGAGACUUCAGCUUCCAGCCUGGAUACUUCCCUGUGAAUUUCCAGUGUACAUCCGUCCAACUUUGUAUCCAGGCUUCCCUUCAGCUUGCAUUUCUUUGGUAGUCCUUUGUGAUCUCUACCUAGUGGUUAUUUUGUGAGAUUGAUACAUAGUAGCAUUGCAAUUUGUACUAGAGUCUUUGUACAGAGA
Non-coding RNA from Microcebus murinus (gray mouse lemur), 1053 nucleotides. Lineage: Eukaryota; Metazoa; Chordata; Mammalia; Primates; Cheirogaleidae. The record is from RefSeq and is a predicted model, not a curated record.